This 75-nucleotide transfer RNA is filed under the name bacterium. Its description in RNAcentral is "tRNA-Pro". It matches the Rfam family "tRNA". From Rfam's summary of the family: Transfer RNA (tRNA) molecules are approximately 80 nucleotides in length. Their secondary structure includes four short double-helical elements and three loops (D, anti-codon, and T loops). Further hydrogen bonds mediate the characteristic L-shaped molecular structure. tRNAs have two regions of fundamental functional importance: the anti-codon, which is responsible for specific mRNA codon recognition, and the 3' end, to which the tRNAs corresponding amino acid is attached (by aminoacyl-tRNA synthetases). tRNAs cope with the degeneracy of the genetic code in two manners: having more than one tRNA (with a specific anti-codon) for a particular amino acid; and 'wobble' base-pairing, i.e. permitting non-standard base-pairing at the 3rd anti-codon position. The record is from RNAcentral.
CGGGGCGUAGCGCAGUUUGGUUAGCGUGCCUGCCUUGGGAGCAGGAGGUCGCCAGUUCAAGUCUGGCCGCCCCGA